Molecule: long non-coding RNA, 152 nt
Organism: Haliotis rufescens (red abalone)
Lineage: Eukaryota; Metazoa; Mollusca; Gastropoda; Lepetellida; Haliotidae
Exons: 3
Source: RefSeq, a predicted model, not a curated record
GACAAAACGAAAGCUAAAGACGAUGACAUCAUCAUUCGCUAAAGGCCUCUAGCCGUUGUUCAAGACAACAUGAACGACAGUUUAGACGAUUUUCAACUAUAAAAGGGGUUUCAAGACAGAGACCAGACCGAGGUUCCAGGACGACGUGAAAU